This 60-nucleotide transfer RNA is filed under the name Diaphanoeca grandis. The record is from RNAcentral. Lineage: Eukaryota; Choanoflagellata; Acanthoecida; Stephanoecidae.
GCAGAACUUGUGUUCGAUUUGCUGAGAUAUCUGAGCGAAAAGAUAUUUGGAUUCUUCUUA